This 322-nucleotide ribosomal RNA is filed under the name uncultured Leptolinea sp. RNAcentral describes it as "bacterial SSU rRNA". It matches the Rfam family "Bacterial small subunit ribosomal RNA", at positions 1045 to 1382 of the family's 1533-position model. Lineage: Bacteria; Bacillati; Chloroflexota; Anaerolineae; Anaerolineales; Anaerolineaceae. The record is from RNAcentral.
AUGGCUGUCGUCAGCUCGUGUCGUGAGAUGUUCGGUUAAGUCCGCUAACGAGCGCAACCCUCGCUGUGUGUUACAAGUGUCACACGGUACUGCCGGUCUUAAGCCGGAGGAAGUGGGGAUGACGUCAAGUCAGCAUGGCCUUUAUGUCCUGGGCUACACACACGCUACAAUGGCCAACACAAUAGGUUGCUAAGCCGCGAGGUGGAGCCAAUCCUCAAAGUUGGUCUCAGUUCAGAUUGCAGGCUGCAACCCGCCUGCAUGAAGAUGGAGUUGCUAGUAACCGCAGGUCAGCUAUACUGCGGUGAAUACGUUCCCGGGGCUU